This 792-nucleotide ribosomal RNA is filed under the name archaeon K-5a2. RNAcentral describes it as "bacterial SSU rRNA". It matches the Rfam family "Archaeal small subunit ribosomal RNA", at positions 85 to 879 of the family's 1478-position model. The record is from RNAcentral. RNAcentral also lists the same sequence under 1 other name.
ACUGCUCAGUAACACGUGGACAACCUACCCAAGAGUCAGGGAUAACCCCGGGAAACUGGGGAUAAUACCUGAUAGGCCACGACAUCUGGAAUUGAGUUGUGGUUUAAACGUAAGGCUCUUGGAUGGGUCUGCGGCGGAUUAGGUUGUUGCCGGUGUAACGUACCAGCAAGCCUGUAAUCCGUACGGGUUGUGGGAGCAAGAGCCCGGAGAUGGAUUCUGAGACACGAAUCCAGGCCCUACGGGGCGCAGCAGGCGCGAAAACUCUACAAUGCAGGCAACUGCGAUAGGGGAACAUCGAGUGGCACCCACCAUGGGUGUCUGUCCAAUCGUCUAAAAAACGAUUGUCAGCAAGGGCCGGGCAAGACCGGUGCCAGCCGCCGCGGUAAUACCGGCGGCUCGAGUGGUGGCCGAUAUUAUUGAGUCUAAAGGGUCCGUAGCCGGCUUUGCAAGUCCCCUGGGAAAUCCAGCGGCUUAACCGUUGGGCUUUCAUGGGAUACUACAUUGCUUGGGACUGGGAGAGGUAGGAGGUACUCAGGGGGUAGGGGUGAAAUCCUGUAAUCCUUUGGGGACCACCGGUGGCGAAGGCGUCCUACCAGAACAGGUCCGACGGUGAGGGACGAAAGCUAGGGGCACGAACCGGAUUAGAUACCCGGGUAGUCCUAGCCGUAAACGAUGCUCGCUAGGUGUCACGGCAGUCGUGAAUUGUCGUGGUGCCGUAGGGAAGCCGUGAAGCGAGCCACUUGGGAAGUACGACCGCAAGGUUGAAACUUAAAGGAAUUGGCGGGGGAGCAC